AUACUAACCUGGCAGGGGAGAUAGCAUGACCACAAAGGUGGUUUUCCCAGGGUGAGGCUUGUCCACUGCACCCCAGGUGUGCUGACCCCUGUGAUCUCCCCAAAUGUGGGAACAUUGAGUGUGUAAUUUGUGAUGGUGGAGGACUGCAUCCAUACCCCCUACA
Small nuclear RNA from Pteronotus mesoamericanus, 163 nucleotides. RefSeq annotates it as U1 spliceosomal RNA. Lineage: Eukaryota; Metazoa; Chordata; Mammalia; Chiroptera; Mormoopidae. The record is from RefSeq and is a predicted model, not a curated record. The transcript has a single exon.